RNAcentral lists this unclassified non-coding RNA (475 nucleotides) under Hevea brasiliensis (rubber tree). The record is from RNAcentral. Lineage: Eukaryota; Viridiplantae; Streptophyta; Magnoliopsida; Malpighiales; Euphorbiaceae.
AUGAAUAUCCUGAAUGGAACUCAUCAUUAGACAUGUUUGAAGGUUCUGCUAGAAAAAUGACAGUUGAUAGCAGAGACAGCUGUAAGCUUAUGGCAAAACAUGGACGUGGAGAGAUUAGAACUAGUACUGGUUCAGGCAAUGAUCUUCGAAGUCCCUAUGUUGGAAAAGUUGAUCGGGAGCAAGUGAAACCACGGUUUAGUAGCCGUAGUGAAGUGAGUCUUACGGCUUUGGAGAAGGAACAUUUAGAUCGCAAGCCUUCUGAUUUUAACGGAAGCGGGUAUCCUAAUUUCAGGGAGAGAGAGCUUCACAAAAUUGUUGAAAAGGACCACAUCAGUGGAAAGAGGCCAGUAGUUGAUGAGAACUCUAAUCUAGUUCGUGUGAAGGUUCAGGUUCCCCGGCACAAUGAGAUAACAAUUGUUCAACGAGCACCAGUUGAAGUUCCUGACCAUCAAGCGUACUUGAGGAGAGCAUCUAU